Molecule: ribosomal RNA, 496 nt
Filed under: uncultured bacterium
Lineage: Bacteria
Description: bacterial SSU rRNA
Rfam family: Bacterial small subunit ribosomal RNA
Source: RNAcentral
GAUAAACGCUGGCGGCGUGCCUAACACAUGCAAGUCGAACGAGAAGUUAACUUCUGAUUCCUUCGGGGAGAUGAAGUUGGCAGAAAGUGGCGAACGGGUGAGUAACGCGUGGGUAAUCUACCCUGUAAGUGGGGGAUAACCCUCCGAAAGGAGGGCUAAUACCGCAUAAUAUCUUCUCCUCUAAAAGAGAAGAAGAUUAAAGAUGGCCUCUGUCUUAAGCUAUCGCUUCAGGAUGAGCCUGCGUCCUAUUAGUUAGUUGGUGGGGUAAUGGCCUACCAAGACGACAAUGGGUAGCCGGUCUGAGAGGAUGUACGGCCACACUGGGACUGAGAUACGGCCCAGACUCCUACGGGAGGCAGCAGUGGGGAAUAUUGCGCAAUGGGGGAAACCCUGACGCAGCGACGCCGCGUGGAUGAUGAAGGCCUUUGGGUUGUAAAAUCCUGUUCUGGGGGAAGAAACCUUAAGGGUCCAAUAAACCCUUAAGCUGACGGUACCC